This is a long non-coding RNA of Equus asinus (donkey), 2410 nucleotides long. Lineage: Eukaryota; Metazoa; Chordata; Mammalia; Perissodactyla; Equidae. The record is from Ensembl.
GCCCGCCCCGCCGGCCGAGUGCGCUCGUCGCCCGCCGCGCUCCGGGCGCUCGAGGAGGACGGCGCGGGGGAGGCGCGCGGCUGGGGGGAGCGCACGGGGGCCCGUGCUCCGGGUUCCCUGGGAGGCGCACGGGCCGGCCGGGCGCGGCGGGCGCGCCACCUCCUGGGGCACCAGGGGCGCUUCCGCGCUCGGUCAGGAAGGAGGCUCAGAAAGCGGCCGGGCGGGACGCUGCCCCCGUGCGCCGCCCCGUCCCCUUCGCGGGUUCCCUCCUCCGCCAGCCGGGCGGACGCCCCUCGGGCCCGCGCGCUCCGCUCCUUUGUUCGGGGGCCGUUCCGCACAGCGGCCGGGGCGGCGGGCGUCGAGACGGCCAGGGUCCGGGCGGCGGGGCGCCUGGCGGGGACAAUGAGGCCGUGCGGCCGCGCGCGCGGAGGGCUUCCUCCGGGUCCUCGCGGUGCCGGGGGCGAGCCCGGGGCUGGAAGGCAGGGGCCUCCCGGGUGCUCCCCGCGUGGUCCGGGAAGAGCGAGCGAGCGCCGGAGCCUCGGCUUCCUUUCCUGGGGAGCCAUCCCCGCCCCGCCCGGCCCCUGGGUUCAGGGGCUCCACUGUGACAAUGGACGGGAGCGCGCUUGGUCGUCAGCGGACAGUUACGGGAGCGCCAGGCGCACGCCCGUCCCCGCCCCGCCCGCUCACCUGGAGCUGUCAGGGGAAGAGGUGCUGAUUACUUCCUUGGGGAGAUGAGGCUCGCCAGCCUUACAGCAGUUAUUUCCUCAGGAUGUUUACGUCAGCUCCCCGAGCCUGGGAGGGGGCGCAGCCUGGGCCCCCACUCAGGGCCUGUGGACACCAAGGCAGGAGGGAGAAGGCUCCCCAGGCCUCAGCGUUUGCAUCUUGCCGACACAACAGGCCACUUUCUGGCCUCUCAGCUCUGUGUCUAGGAAUUUAGUAGCCUCCCGAUCGGGCCAACUGAGGGGUUUUUCCCAAACAACACGCUGGAGAUGGUGGAGGCAGAGCUGUGCCUGCAGGUGACUGCAGACGUUCAGUGAAUCACACGUCUUAGCCACAUGAAGGAUCAGCUACAGCUCUGAGCCGAGGAGUGCACAGGAAGCUGCCUGCCCUGAGGGGCCCAAGUGCCCUGCGGCUCAGGUCGCCCUCCACAGACCAGAAGGCCUCAGCAAACCUGCAGAGAUCAGCGUGGUCUUCUGAAGACAUCCGUGGAGUCGAAGGCCCUCCUGCGAGGCCAGGAGGGUGAUGAUUAUGGUGAAGAGAGAGGCCUCAAACUAUUUUGCACACAUCUUGCUUACUUUUGCAAAGUGAAUAGCUGGCAAAAGAAACUAAAAUCCUCAUGGGAACACCAGCGCACCCUGUGUCAACUCGUUGAACAUUCCCCGAGCACCUGCACGCUGUGUCACAGGCACAGCAGAACGUGCUGAUGACACAGAAGUGGACGAGGCAGAAGGCGCCUUCCCCUGGAACCCUGGUCACGUCCAAACCCGGCCACACAGCAGGCUGAGUGCCCAAAGAGGGUCCUGGGAACAUUUCCCAGUCGUGCUUCCCAAGAAUGAGGAGUGAGAAUUAACUGAGCCCAGUGCCUAGCGUGGAAUCAGCAUCGUGUCUAGUAGGAACUCGGGAGAACCCCCAAAAUGACAGAACCUUGAGGCCCAACAAAUCUUAGAUCCCCUGUUGUGCCCAAGGUCACUCAGCUGGUGACUGACCCGGUCUGUGAUCUUCCCCAGCCCCGAGUUCUUCCGUCUCUGAGCUAUGAUCCUCGGCUGGAAGCUGGAAGCAUUUCCAGCCCUGCUUCUCCGCGGGGCUGUGAGCAAAGACUCGAAAGCACUUUCCUUCUUGAUGUCCUGUUGUGUUGUCUUUGCAUUGUUAACCUGUAUGUGACAUGUAACACAUAGAGCACACAUUUUUAAGACUAUUUUAAUAAUAUGGGAAAUGCUCUCCUUAUGUUUAGUGAACAAAAAAGGAGAUAAGGAGAGUGUGUGUGUCACUAAACACUCAGUAAGCAUUAGAAAAAGCAAACGGAGAGGUUAGAAAGAAAUCAAAAUUUUAACUAUGGUUAUUCUUUAAGUGGUGGAAUCACAAUUUUAUUUUCAUUUUACUUUUCUGUAUGUUUCAAGUUCUGACCAGACCUUUUUCUCAAUUUUUAAAAAUAAUACGUGCUUAGGUUAAAAAUUAAUGCUAAAAGGCUUAAUAAAAUAAAAAGCACCCCAUCCUUGCUGUAGGUAGAGGAAAAAAAGCUAAAACUAGUCCCAGCACACAUCUUUAUUAAAUCUUCUGGAAUUAGAAGAGUAGAGAUGGAGAAAGUUUCAUAAAUUUUAUUAAAUGGGCCUUUAAAGUAGCUUGACUUCUAAAAUUUAAACAUGACUUAGUUAAUAAUCAGUAAUAACCAUUCCGCAAUAUCAGAAAGGAG